Long non-coding RNA from Cygnus atratus (black swan), 480 nucleotides. RefSeq lists it as uncharacterized. The transcript has 2 exons. The record is from RefSeq and is a predicted model, not a curated record. Lineage: Eukaryota; Metazoa; Chordata; Aves; Anseriformes; Anatidae.
AGACGGACGGACACGGAUACGGACGGACGGACACGGAAGGAUACGGAUGGACGGACACGGACGGAUACAGACAGACGGACGGACACGGACAGAGCCCCGUCCCCCCACCGGGGUUCCCCCCGGCCCCCUUCCCUUUUCCACGCUCGGCGGCCGGAUUCCCCCCGGCGCCGCUCAAUGAACCGCGCUGCCCGCCCGCCGCCGCCGCCGCCCCCAGCACACGCUUUUGGGGCGGUUUUGGCCACUUUUGAGUGACAUCGACACGCGCGGCCGGCGGCGGGCGGCCACGAGCUGCGACCUCCAGCGAGCCACCGAAAACAGUACCGCUGCUGAAAAUGGGGCGGAAAGGAGGAAAAUCGGGGAGCGAGCGCUCCCUGUGAACAGUUAAUGCUGUUACGAAGGCUACCGAGGCCGGGGCGCGGCGGGACACGGACGGUCCUACAUCUCUCGGCGGUAUAAAUAUGGGAUUUUUCGGACAGGUUA